This 403-nucleotide ribosomal RNA is filed under the name uncultured bacterium. RNAcentral describes it as "bacterial SSU rRNA". It matches the Rfam family "Bacterial small subunit ribosomal RNA", at positions 355 to 775 of the family's 1533-position model. The record is from RNAcentral.
UAGGGAAUAUUAGAAAUGGACGAAAGUCUGAUCUAGCAGCACCGCGUGUGCGAAGAAGGCCUUUGGGUCGUAAAGCACUUUUUGGAAGGAAUAGGAAGGAAUGUACUUCCAGAAUAAGUCUCGGCUGACUACGUGCCAGCAGCCGCGGGAACACGUAGGAGGCAAACGUUAUCCGGAUUUACUGGGCGUAAAGCGCGUGUAGGUGGUACUGUAAGUAGGGCGUGAAAGCUCCUGGCUCAACUGGGAGAGGCCGUUCUAAACUACAGAACUAGAGGAUGGUAGAGGGAGGUGGAAUUCCAGGUGUAGCGGUGGAAUGCGCAGAUAUCUGGAGGAACACCGGUGGCGAAGGCGGCCUCCUGGACCAUUCCUGACACUCAGACGCGAAAGCUAGGGUAGCAAACGG